ACGAACGCUGGCGGCGUGCUUCACACAUGCAAGUCGAACGGAAAGGCCUGCUUUCCCUUGUGGAUUGCGGGUGCUCGAGUGGCGAACGGGUGAGUAACACGUGAGUGAUCUGCCCCCAACUUGGGUAUAAGCCUGGGAAACUGGGUCUAAUUCCCGAUAGGACUGCAGGGUGGUGCCUGUGGUGGAAAACGAUUUUCUAGUGGUUGGGGAUGAGCUCGCGGCCUAUCAGCUUGUUGGUGGGGUAAUGGCCUACCAAGGCGGCGACGGGUAGCCGGCCUGAGAGGGUGGACGGCCACAUUGGGACUGAGAUACGGCCCAGACUCCUACGGGAGGCAGCAGUGGGGAAUAUUGCACAAUGGGCGGAAGCCUGAUGCAGCGACGCCGCGUGGGGGAUGACGGCCUUCGGGUUGUAAACUCCUUUCGACCGCGAGGAAGCCACCUGGUUGGAAGGAUGGUGACGGUAGUGGUAGAAGAAGCACCGGCUAACUACGUG
Molecule: ribosomal RNA, 493 nt
Filed under: uncultured bacterium
Lineage: Bacteria
Description: partial 16S ribosomal RNA
Rfam family: Bacterial small subunit ribosomal RNA
Source: RNAcentral